This 423-nucleotide ribosomal RNA is filed under the name uncultured prokaryote. Its description in RNAcentral is "bacterial SSU rRNA". It matches the Rfam family "Bacterial small subunit ribosomal RNA", at positions 355 to 776 of the family's 1533-position model. RNAcentral also lists the same sequence under 1 other name. The record is from RNAcentral.
UAGGGAAUAUUAGAAAUGGACGCAAGUCUGAACCAGCCACGUCGCGUGAAGGAAGACGGCCCUACGGGUUGUAAACUUCUUUUGUAAGGGAAUAAAGUUAGCCACGUGUGGCUUUUUGCAUGUACCUUACGAAUAAGGAUCGGCUAACUCCGUGCCAGCAGCCGCGGUAAUACGGAGGAUCCGAGCGUUAUCCGGAUUUAUUGGGUUUAAAGGGUGCGCAGGCGGGAGAUUAAGUCGGCGGUGAAAUUUUGCAGCUCAACUGUAAAAGUGCCUUCGAUACUGGUUUCCUUGAGUGUGGAUGAAGUAGGCGGAAUUUGUGGUGUAGCGGUGAAAUGCUUAGAUAUCACGAGGAACUCCGAUUGCGCAGGCAGCUUACUAAACCACUACUGACGCUCAGGCACGAAGGCGUGGGGAUCAAACAGG